Molecule: long non-coding RNA, 978 nt
Organism: Bubalus bubalis (water buffalo)
Lineage: Eukaryota; Metazoa; Chordata; Mammalia; Artiodactyla; Bovidae
Exons: 2
Source: RefSeq, a predicted model, not a curated record
GCCUAGUGCUCUGCUGGGCAGAGCAGAAGCUCAACACGUGUGAUGCGUGAUCAAUGGCAGAACCCCAGGGGCCCUCUCUCUGAGAAGACAUGUGCCCUCCCUCUUUCCUUGCUGAAGUGGUGGGCAAGAAAAUGGACCCAGAUGGAGCUCACACUUGCUCUUCUCAAAGACACGUUUUCCCUCAUAUACUCGUCCUUUACCUUCCUGGUCAAAAUGUGAAGUCUAACUGGUUUUUACCUGUCCUCCUGUCUUGUGGGACAUUUCCAAAAGAGGGAACAGCCUGUGAUGAGCAGAAACCUCACAGCAGCACAGACCAGAGCUCUGUCUGGAUACCAUGGGCACUGCUGUCUGAGGUCUGAAGAGUCUCUGGAUAAAGGGUCCGUUCCUGGUGGUCUGUGGCCCCCACCCCAGAUCCUAAGACUGCUGUGGAUUGACGUGGGGAGGAAGCUGGGAACAAGCUGGGAACAGCUGGAGGGGACGAAAACUGAGGACAUGCUGACUGUUCUGGGAGACAACUUCCUGCCAUCUGCCUCUCCUUCCCCACAAUGGCAGGCCUGAAGAGGAAGAAAAAGCAAGCAAGUUUAAUUAUUCUGAACAUAUCCUGGGACAUUUCAGAGUCCCCUACAAAGGAACUGAAAUGUUGCAUGCUCUUUAACGCUAAACGUCACUAAUGAGAAAUUGUUGUUGUUGUUGUUCUGCCUGUAAGACAUUUUGUGGAUGACGUUCGGCCAGUCAGCACUUUCACAGACGUGGGCAUGUCAAUGGUUAAUUGUUUGAGGCAGAAACCACUCGGUGUUGCAAAAUCAGUUUGCGCUGCUUUUGACACACACUGGUAUGGGUUAGAUACUUCAGGGUGAAACUAAUACACGGAAUAAGUCUUUAAUUCAGUCAUUCCCCCUACCUGAGGCAAAUCCCAUGGGUUUCAUAUGAUGUGAAUCAUCCCCACUCAGAGAUAACUAAACACAUUAAGAAAAGGUA